Molecule: RNA transcript, 5232 nt
Organism: Phacochoerus africanus (Common warthog)
Lineage: Eukaryota; Metazoa; Chordata; Mammalia; Artiodactyla; Suidae
Exons: 3
Source: RefSeq, a predicted model, not a curated record
GGACGGCUGCAAGGAAGCACACAGGGGAGUGGGCCGCAGCUGCCGCCUGGGUCCCCAGCUCCUGCGGUCAGGAGGGCCGGGGAUGGGACUGCCUGUUGCACGGAGAAGAAAGAGACCACCCGGAGCUGGGAGACCCCACCGGGGCAUGCCUGCGUGGUGGCAAAGCCGACCCUGGAACCUUGCCUGCUGAGAGGGCGCCAGGGCCACUGCUCCAAGAACUCUCCCUGCCUGCCUGUGCUGAAGGUGUCACCCAAGCAUCGCCUUUGGGGACAACCUCCCCCAGGGUCGGGGAAGGCCAGAAGAAGCCUGGAGGAAGGGACCACGCCCCCAGCGCUCUGGGCAGACUGCAGCUGCCAGGCAGGUGCCCUUCACCAGCACAGUGCUGGCCCCUUGGCACAAGCUGAGGGGAACCUCUUCAGCUGGCACACCUGCCCCCAGUCACUUAACAUCAAGUUUUAUGACACUUCCAGAUACACAACCCUUGCCCUUGACCCAAUCUCAGAAAGCCAGAAUGGGGUCUCCUUGCCCAGGUGCAGUGCCCUUCAAGGGGGCCACAGCAUCCCCUCCAGAGUCCAGGAUCCUUGUGCUGCCCACCUGCCAGGCUGCCUCGCCCUAUCCUCCUGACCCUCUCCAAGUCCCCAGGUCACUGCCCCCCCCACCCCACUCUAUUCUACUAUUCCCCUGAGUGCAGGGGCUCCCAAACUGGAGCAGGUAUCAGAAUCCCCUGGAGGGCUUGUCAAACACGCACUGCUAGGCCUCACCCCCGUUUCCCACCCAGGGAACACACUUCGAGAAUCCCUGCCUUAGUAAAUGUUAACAGAUGUUAUUUCUGCAGGAUAUUAAGAGGUAUUUUUUUCAAAAGAAGGACAUGCUUUAACAAAAAGGGGGGGGGGGUUGCUAAAAUAUGUGAAACACUCGGUCAAGAAGUCUCCUUAUUGGAGGCCUUUUCCGAUCCUUUCAUCUACAAAUUGUGGGUGUGUGCGCAUGCCUGCGGACUGGUUUCCUAACAACUCACUACAGGACCCUCUAGCUGGUGCAUCUCAAAUCAGCAGAGGCCCCUGGGACCUACCUGGGGGAAUUUUGGGGCGGGGGGGAGUGGGCACACUGUCAUUUCGGGGAGUAAGUGCAGAGGUCUCUACUGCACUAGUCUUCACUCAAGGUAAACGUGGCCUUCCUCCCUCCCCACGGUCAGAACACAGCACCUUCUCCUUGGGCCCAUACCCUACACCCCCGGCGGCUGCCUGGCCCGGAGCUCUCCCAAGAAAGAAGCUUGUCUGUCCCGACUGCAGGUGAAGAAGAUGUGAUACAGGUGGACUCAGUGGCUUCAGCAGCCAUGAGGACACGUCCCCAGGGAAGGCUGAGUGGUCAGCACCUGCCCGCUUAGCUCUCGGCCCACCCACCAUUUGUCCUGGCCUCCCAUGCUGGCUGGCUUCUCUCAAGGUCUCUGGGGGCCCCUCCCGUCCCCUCCCGUGCCCAGGCUUGGCUCAGCACGAUGGGAAGAGGCAGGCAUGGCUGGGCGCGCCAUCAAACGCCAUCCAACUCACCCUUCUGGGGUGAGGAAGUGGCGGAUUUUCCCAUAUUUUCACUUCAGCUGUUCCUGGGCAUCCUGAACUUUGCACUCCAGUCUGAGGGCUCCAAAGAAAGGCUGCCAUGGCAACCGUUUCCAUGUUUUUGUCACCAAGGGACUCAACACUCAGUGUGAACUCUGGGGGGGGGGGGAGGUCCUUCAGCCUGGAGAAGUGGCUGGGCUGUGUGUGUUUGACUGUGCAGACGGGGGUCACCGUGGCAACUGCGUGCCCCUCAGCUAAGCAAAGGGGGAGCCGCCCCCAGCAUCCCCGAGAGCCCCGGUUUCCUCUCCUCCUGGUGGCUGAGCUGAAUACAGAAUGAACAUGCCCCACGCUGUGGCUCUCUUCCUGCAUGGGACCUCAGCCCUCUGGCUCAGCAGUGGGGGGGGUGCUGAGGAUGCUGCACAAGGCACCUCUGGCUGGGGCCCCCGGACAACGCGGCUUUGACCAUCUGCUGGGGUGAAGAGCUGAACUGUGCACCCCCACCCCCACAUCCUGACAGCACAUGAACACAGUGACGUCCCAACCCCGGUUCUCUCAGAACGCGACAAUUUGGAGAGUCUGGAAGCGUUAAUGACGUUCAGAGGAAGUUACCGGGUGGACCCUGACCCACCGUGACUGGCAUCCUCCUACCACGAGAUGAGGACACAGACACGCAAGGAUGGAGAAGACAGCCGCCCGCAGCCAGGGAGAAAGUCGGAGAAGCCGAGGCCGACCACACCUUGAUCCCGGCCUCCAGCCUCCAGGACUGGGAGGCCAGGCGUUUCUGCGGUUUAAGCCCCUCGGGCUGCGGUGCUCUGUUCCGGCAGCGGGCGAAAACUCAGGCAGUUGGAGCAGAGACUCAGGAUCCUGGACCUCAGCUCAGAGACAGGCGGGAGGCAGAGCUGGUGAGAUAUCCCGCCGCUGUGUGGACAAGAGGCCACAGAGAGCCAGCUGGACAAGGGCAGGCCCUCCAGGGGCCCUUCGGGAAUGUGGUCCUUCACAGCAGGAGGCCUGGAGCUCCCCCUCUCCCAGGCAGGGCAUUCAGAGCAGCCCCCGCCCCUGAAGGGGACCCACCCAUCACCCAGGACACAGCCUGGAGGCAGACCUGGCCCUGCACACCUUGCCGUCCUCAAGAUUCCGGGGACCAAAGCAGCGGACACAGCUCCAGCCCUGGCCCAAGAGACCGAGAAGGGUCAGCUCUGGGCCCUUCAAGAACCUGGCCUUGCCACCACCUCGGACUGGACGUUGUCAGAGCGUCACCCUGCAGGAUGGCUGAGGCUCACCCACACCACACUUGCCCAGCCCCUCAAAGUCCAACCACCCUCCACGGAUGGAACCUGCUUCUCCAAGGACAGCCAGAGAAAGGGUCUCGAGCCCUGAAACAGGGACCAAAGCAGGAACCCAGGCCAGAUCCCUGCGGGGGAGGCACCUGUCCCAGGGAUGCCCCGCAGUCGGCCGCCAGCACAUGCCCUCUGAGGAAUCAAUCCAGCAGCAGGGAGCCUCUGAAAGGCGUUCUGACCUCAGGGCACGCCUGCCCUCACCUCCCAUCCCCGCCUGAGACCCCCACUGGCAGGUUGAGUGGCAGAUGUGUUUGUGGGAAGACCUCAGGCAGAGUGACGGUGCUGGGGUCCUUGUGCCAAAGGUGCUAACCCCUGGGGAGCAGGUGACAGGACCGACGAAAUGCACCCCGCUGGGGAAGGACGGCAGCCGCAGCGCCUGGGAGAAGCUCUCUGGGAUCCCCAAGCCAAGGCGCUGGUAAGCGGGGAGAAGCCAAGUGCUGCCUGGCCGCAGGGGAACAGCCUGGGGUCCCGGGCACCCUGGACAGAUCCCUGCUUCCCCCAAACCCCCACUCGGAGCCUCAGUGUCCCCGUCUGUGAAAUGGGAGGAGGCACCUUUCAUCACAUGGCCUUCCCUACCCACACCUCCUUCCUAAAAGCGGGACGUCAGAGGAGAGGAAGCUCCAGGGAUGGGGACAGGUGGGGCCUGGAGCUGCCCAGACCCCAGGGCAGGCCCCUGUGGAGCCCAGCACCCCACAGCUGCUGGGGCGCUCGAGAGGAGAAAUCCGGGCUCCACGCUCCCCUGUCUGUGGGCAUGGGGAGGCCCUGCAGCACAGCCCACCCCCCGCCCGUGGCAGGACGCCCUGGUCCGUGCAGCGGUCUGCGGGCUCAGGGGCUCUUGUCGAGCUAUCACAGGCGUGCUGGCCCCCCCUGCCCGACGUGGUGGUCAUCGCAUUCUGCGACCUCAGGCUGACUCAGGCUGCCCCAGCUCCACAUCUGGCUUCCAUAUGGGGCUGGCACUCUAAGGGGGGGAGGUCACAUCUGGCUGGGGAAAUCAGAGGAUCCCCAGGGGGCCGGUGACCCCUGGGGAAGGGUCAGUGAGCCGCUGAACCACCACGCCGUGUGCCGCUGGCUGGUUGCCACUCGCAGCCACCAUGACCAGCUGCCUCCCAGCUCAGCCCAUGACCAUGCCAAGUGCCUGGCUCCCCAGCCAGCUGGCCCUUGGGGGACAGCCCUCAGGGGGCUCCUCCAACAUCUGCACCCCACUCACCCCAAGGCCUAAAGUCACAACCUCCUGGAGACGCAGGAGCCUGCCCUGUGCUGCGCACGGGCAAGGGCUGAUCCUGAUCCGGAAGAGCUACUGACCCCGAGGUCGAAAAAAGGAAGGGCAGGGGGUGUCAAGACGGGCAAAGCCAUCAUUUGCCGAGGCCUGAGCUGUAAGACUCUCCCUGCCACCCAGCGCAUCAGAUCCCGGCCUGAGCAGCUAGACGGGAGCCGGCAGACCGCCGCGCCCGAGAAUCUACAGCAGCUCCACGGGAACCUGCAGUGGCUCCAGCGCCAGCUCCACCUCCUCCGCACCCACCUCCCUGCCGGCUGGGUCUCCCCACCCUCCAUCAUGGACCUUCCGUGACCUGCCUCCCCCUGCUCCCAGUCAGCCCGCCUCUGGGGCAUCACCUGCACCCCAUCUACCAUCUUGGCUCCACCACCUCGGACAGCCCCGCCACCGCGACAGUCACGUGGCCACCCCUGCUCCUCCCCUAGGAGGUCUCCUUGGGGCUUAUCAGGAGCUGGGAGCCCAGGGUCCUGUGGGGGAGUUGGUCCUUGAGGCUUCUGAGGAAGACCGUGCCCCCUCUGCUGCCAGAGGCUCAGCGCCUGGCAUGGGCGGUGGGGUGGGAGGAGGGCUCUCAGGCUUUGGCGGCCCUGGUCUCUGGCAUGUUCUUGACCAUGUGGAGUCGCAGCAUUCCAUCGGCAGGAAGAAAAAGCCCUCCCUCGCCGGUGGUUCUGGGGCUUCACUAAGGGUGAGCGGAGGCUGGGAGGUGCCGUCCAGGGCCUGGCACGGCCUCUGCACUAGGGGUUCUGCUGCCCUGAGAGCACAAGGUACUUGGUGGGGGUACCACUGUAAAGCACAACUGCGCUGCAGUCCCCAGGCCCACCUCUGCCAGGGACCCCAGGAGAGCACACGCGUGCACACACACAUGCACACACUCAGCCUGACAAACCCAGCUUCGCCCCACACAUGCCCACAGAGCUCCUGCUCUGAGCUGGAUCCUCAGAAACCACCCUGGAGGGCUCUCGAGAGGAUUGCUCGGGGCCAAUCAUCUUAGGAAAAGCAUUCUGAUUUUUCCAUCCGGUGGUGCCAAGAUGUCUUUCAACAAAAGGGGUGACUAAUAAACAUUUCUGGGAACGAA